GAUGAACGCUGGCGGCGUGCCUAAUACAUGCAAGUCGAGCGAAGCGGGGACGGGUGAGUAACACGGGGAUAACCUCCUAUAAGACUGGGGUAACUUCGGGAAACCGGAGCUAAACCGGAAACUUAUAGAUGGAUCCGCGCUGCAUUAGCUAGUUGGUAAGGUAAUGGCUUACCAAGGCAACGAUGCAUAGCCGAGCUGAGAGGAUGAGCGGCAACACUGGAACUGAGACACGGUCCAGACUCCUACGGGAGGCAGCAGUGGGGAAUCUUCCGCAAUGGGCGAAAGCCUGACGGAGCAACGCAGCGUGAGUGAUGAAGGUCUUCGGAUCGUAAAGCUCUGUUAUUAGGGAGGCGGUACCUACUGAGAAAGCCACGGCUAACUCCGUGCCAGCAGCCGCGGUAAUUC
This 405-nucleotide ribosomal RNA is filed under the name uncultured bacterium. RNAcentral's name for it is "partial 16S ribosomal RNA". It matches the Rfam family "Bacterial small subunit ribosomal RNA", at positions 28 to 526 of the family's 1533-position model. The record is from RNAcentral.